Molecule: long non-coding RNA, 216 nt
Organism: Chelonia mydas (Green sea turtle)
Lineage: Eukaryota; Metazoa; Chordata; Testudines; Cheloniidae
Exons: 3
Source: RefSeq, a predicted model, not a curated record
UUCAGGAGCUUCUAACAAAGCAGCUGAUACACUCUCCCGUGAAAGUUUCCCAGAAUCAACUGGUUAAAAUCGUCCUUGAAAUGCGGAAAAUAUAGUUAGUUUUUAUAGAAUCAGUAGUAUAUCUAGAGGUGCAUGUUUCUUAUUAACUCUGGUUUCUCUUAGAGCUCCAGGAAGAAAUCACUGCCAGUGUCUCACCCUAUCAUGACAUUUGGGGGG